This 205-nucleotide unclassified non-coding RNA is filed under the name Hevea brasiliensis (rubber tree). Lineage: Eukaryota; Viridiplantae; Streptophyta; Magnoliopsida; Malpighiales; Euphorbiaceae. The record is from RNAcentral.
AGAUGAGAAAGAGCAGAACUCGAAUAGGCAAUUGGGGAAAAGAAAAAAAUUUGAGGAACCCCAAAUUUAUAGAUAUGACAGAGGCGGAUCUUCAAGGUGAAAGCAAUCGAGAACCCGUUGGCAAAGAAUUAGAAGUUUCUACCCUAUCCAUGUCUGUGAGGUAUAUGGCAAGUUACACGGUGGUAUUUGCUAUAAGGUUACUGGA